CUGUUUGGACUCUUCCUCUCUGCAUCUCCUCUCAUCCCCUGGCAUCGCCGCCGCGCGUCUUUUCUUUUCUGGAAACUCUCGAGCCUCCACAGCCCGAAGGGCACCCUGUCUGCCCGCCCCGUUUCCGUUCUGUACACACACCUAUUGCUGAGCGCUAGUCUUUCUUCUCCCGGAAUUCCAUUUCCCCGAUCCAGUUGUUCCUCUCCGUUUCUUACGUCACAAUCUCAGGGUUUUCCUUUUCCCUGACGGCACUUUUCCCUCAACGCGCCAUUGGUUAUGACCCUGAGCCAAUGGUAGGAGAUACGCCCCUCCCCCUCCCCUCCAACUGACUGUGCCGGUCAGGUCCGGCUCGGCACAUACAGAUUCCCCAGUCCCUGGGGAUUGGGCGUCAGUUCAAAAGUGGGCGUGGAAAGAGAUUGGGGGGGGGCAGGGAAACUCUCAAAGCACCAGGUGGCUCUGGGCUGGUCCCGUGAAUCCGCGAGGAGGAGCUGGGCGGAUUUAAAAGGACGCGAAACGGCGAGAUGUCCCUUCCUUGCAACUGCAGCUCCACCGCGAAAACAAGCGGGCACAAGCUCCCCGACGGCGGGCUUCCCACCCCAGAACACGCUCAAGCAGCUUCCGACCUCUCCGCCUCCGCUUGGAUAUCCCCUGCAGGAAGCAGCAAAUGCUCCGCGUUUAUGAUCUGCUGUUCCGCCAAUCGGGGGAAGCGUACGCCACCUAAUGCAAGUGCAAAAGCCUCGGUCCUCUCCCAGCUCUUUGAUGAUCCACACAGAAAACCUCAUCAGAAGCCCGUUCAGGAAAUGGAGACCCCCUUCCUCCAUCAAUAACACAGGCAAGGACAGGGAGUCGCCCCCGCAAAGCAGCCGUCGGUCCCCUAAAUAGUUCACCCACAGGAAGUGAGAAAACCCUUCAUGUUGGCCGUCAGCGUUUCCCACAGGAAACUCGAGGCCUCUCUCAAAAGAGCUCGGCGUUAGCUGCUCGCCGGGCUGUUAACCAUUUUGCUUGCUUGCGCCAUUCUCCCGCAGCCUAUUUCAUUCGUAAGCGGGAACCAAAGAAUUAUUGAAGCUAUGCGAAAAAGGAAUUUACAGUGAGUUCUGCCUUGCCUUCAGGUGGCCAGCGACGGUGAAAAGGGUCGUUUCUGCUCCGUUUUUCAAGGAAGGAAAGGAGUUGAGCUGGAAGUGUUUGAAGUAUUAUAAUCUACAAAAACAAAAAAACAAAGUGGCAUUAACUCGGUACAGAGCUUUAGUUUACACCGCUCUUUUCCCUCUUUCAAAUUCAAUUGAAUUUAUUUUUGGAGGAGCACUGCUCCCCUAAAGUAAACUAUUACACUAAUACAAGACCGUAGUUCACCAUUAGUAUCCUCGAGUACUCGAGUUUUCUUGGUUUAAAUGAGGUUUGUUUCAUGUAUAAAAUGGACUAAAUUCCCAGAACAAGGGGAAAUGUUUUUGUAGGGCUACACUAUGUAGACUGCAAACAUUCCCAAGACUGCCAGACACAGCAAAGAGCUUUUUUUUUUAUCCCUCGGUUUCCAUCUAGUGGAAAUGGCCAUUCUGAUUUUUGCCACACCUACAAUAAUUUGAUAUAGGAUAUUGUAUCUAAUUUGGCAGCAUUUCAUAGUAAAACAUUUACAGACUACACAACAAACCAUACAAUAUGGUGCAAUUCUUUUUGUUUAAUGUACUAUGUAUAAAAAAACUAUGGUUUAUACAGCUGUCCACAUAAAUACUAUCUGGUUUACAUUGCCAAUUCAAUAUUUCUUCAAUUGUGAAAAAUCUGUGAUUUUCUAGAAUUUUCAGAAUCUCUCAUCCCUGAUACUGACAGCUGACAGAUGUCAUUUAGCAACAACAAAAAACUCAGUUUUCCCUCAAUUUAGAUGGUUGUAUGACAGAAUAUAGGACACUGACCAACUAUAUUUAAAGCUUAGUUGUCUGGAUUCCGAAUGUAUUAAUAUGUAAUUCAAUGUGCCAUGCAUAUCCAGAAUACUGAAGAAACCAUGAUUCAGUUAAACACAAGUUACAUGUUAUGUGAACAUAGCACAUUCACAAAAGGAAGUGGUGGACUUGUUUGAAAGAGGUUCUAGAUCAGUGGUUCUCAACCUGUGGGUCGGGACCCCAUUUGGGGUCAAACGACCAUUUCACGGGGGUCGCCAAACAAGACUGUCCGCCAUUUUUUCCCUUUUCUUUGGCCAUGCCCCUGGCACCCGGUGAUGUAUAAGUGGUUGAGGGUCAUCACAACAUGGGGAACUGUAUUAUGGGGUCGCGGCAUUAGAAAGGUUGAGAACCACUGUUCUAGAUGCUGCAGGCAUUGCAAGAAUAGUAACUUUACACCAGUGCUACGCAACCUUUUAGACACUAGGGAUUGGUUUAAUGGAUAACAAUUUUUACACUAUAAAUUUUUCCACUUGGACCUGUGGGGGGGGGAAACGGAGGAGCGCAUAACCUGGAUCUAGCACAUGUGUAGUUUUGCUUGUCCACUGCUCAUCUCCAGCUAUGUGGCUUGGUUCCUAACUGGCCAUGGAAUGGUCUUGGUUUGCCUGGAGUUGGGUACCCCUGUUUUACACCACUGAAAAAACUUUGAUUCAUGCAAUAAUUUAUUGAUUUCACACACUUGUGCUUUUUUCUGAAUGAAAAAAACACCUUGCAAUAUAAAAUUACCAAUACAGCAAGGAUGGGAAUAGAUUAGUAUGUACCAUUACUGUUCCAAUUCGUAUCUGAUCACUGACUUGAAAAUGGUGUAUCAUUUCUCAUGGCCUAUGGCCAGAGACCAGUGCUGCAAUCAUUACAGAAUAUGUGAACAUGAUCCAAAAUCUAAGUCCAGGAGGCCAAACUUUUGAGUCUGAUAGGCCCAUCUGAAAUUUCAAAAGCUGUAAAGAACAAACAUUCAAAACACAACAAAACACUUACUUCUAAAAAAGAAUAAUUCCUCAGAAUCUGAAAUUAGAAAUCAAAUCUGAGAUUGAUAACAAAAACCUAUUCCUUUAAUCCAUUUUCUGUUUUAACAGAAGCAAAUUUCAGAGAAAGAUGCAUAGGUGUAUCCCAACAAACCCAUUUCUUAAACCAUAAGCCUUUUACCCUCUUAAACAUUGAUGCACUCACCUUUUUUUUAAAAAAGGAACAGAGUGCUUAUUCUAUACCAGAGGUGUCAAACUCACGUCACGUGAUGUGUCCCAACCUAUCGUGACUUUUUUGCCGGCAAUGGGAUGGGCAGAGUUUUGCUAUGAUGCAUCCAGCCCACGGCCCUGCAGUUUGACACCCCUCUUCUAUACUAAUAAUAGUAUACCAAUAUGUUGUUACAUUCAUGGAAAUAUAACAUCAGUAAUUAUUGUAGGCUAUAACCUGAUAUGAAGUAUAACAUAAUGAAAAUGCUAAGUAUUAAUUGAACAAUUGGAGAAGAAUCCCAGAUAUUCCUGUCUCAAAAUUCUGUUCAUUCUGAUAGUCCAUGAAGUUUGUAAUUUAUCUGAUGACAGCUUCAGUGCAAGCCUUCCCUUCUUUGUGCAAAUAAGAGACAAAUGCCAGAUUCAGAAAACUAACAGAAAAAUGCAUUUCAAUUGUCGUUUUUAAGUAUUGAUUUUUAUCAGUCUAGGGUACUUAUGAAUAUUGAAUUGUGAAAGAAAAAUAUAGAUCUCAGACACCUAAAACAAUUUAUAUUGCUUUAUUUGCUACACUUAAAGUACACCCUAAUUAUAUUUCAGUUUCAUUGCCUCCUGGUGUAUUUUCUUGAGAAAAUCAUAGAUUAAAGUAGCAAGGUGGUUUAAUGGAAGAAAGAACCAACCAGUCCAUAAUUAAGAAAUACUUUUACAAUUCUUAUUUAUAUUUGUGUCAUGCAACUGAGGAAUAUAUGUGAAUGUAUAAUGUGAAAGUAUAAUGUGAAAGUUACAGAAAGAAAUUUAUGUUUUGUCUGCUAGGACAAAAUAUCUAUUUCCAGUGUUUAAAGGCUUUAAAAAUCUGCUUAAGGCCCAUCUUCAAUUAUUACAUUAAAAAAACUAAAAUGUAAUGGAACCUCUCAGCCUGACCUAAAUGAGAUUUUAUCUUUCAAAAUCCUCUUUAUCUGAAAUGUUUUUAGAAAUACAUAAUUGCUUAAUGGAACCACUUCCCCACCUAAUUAUUUUAUUUUCUAUGGACAAGUGUCAGCAAGGCAAUCUUAUUUAAAAAAAAAAAAAAAACCUCAGCUGCUAGAGCAUGGAGAAAAUAAACCUGACUCAGGCACUCCCACUAUAGUUUAAGUAGGAUAAUAUAGUGUUUCUUGCAUUUGCCAAGAGUCAGUUCCUUUUUAUCCACAAUAUUUUAACAGUUGUUUGUAAGAGGUCCAAAAAUAAUAAAAUCCAUCCCAAGAAUAGAAGCGAUAGAUCCAAUAUAUACUAUUUUUGUCAUGGUCUUGGCUUUGUUAAAGCAUUUUAGUAGUUUUUAUUAGCAACAAUUUGGUUUCUUUCAUGCAUAGCAAACCUUGUACUGUAGACAGUUCAUCAGCUGCUUGCAUAGUACAGUACCAUCAUGGAUUUAUUUGCAAACUAAACUUCAAUAUCACAAUAAAACAAACUACAUUAACAAGGCUGCAAGGAAAUUCUACACCUUAGUGAGAAAAAAACCUUUACCGUAAAGCAGGGCUGUCAAACUGCUGGCCUACAGGUCAGAUGCAUUACACUGAAGCCGCGCCCACCCCAUUGCUGGCAAUGCAAAGAGUCGUGAUAUGUCACAACAUGUCACAUAACGUGGUGAGUUUGAUAUCCGUGCCGUACAGGUAGUCCUCAACUGACAAUCACAAUUGAGUCCAAAAUUUAUGUUGCUCAGUGAGAAAAUUGAGUUUUGCCCCAUUUUCUGACUUUUCUUGCCACAUUUGUUAAGUGAAUCACUGCAGUUGUUAAAUUAGUAACAAAGUUGUUAGGUGAAUCUGGUUUCACCAUUGAUUUUGCUUGUCAGGUCACAAAAGGAGAUCACAUGGCUUUGGGACACUACAGCCAUUCUGUCAGUUGUCAAGCAUCCAAAUAUAAAUCACAUGAUCAUGUUACAAGUCAUAUGUGUGAAAAAUGGUCAUAAGUCACUUUUUUCAGUGCUAUUGUAACUUCAAACAGUAACUAAGUGAACUGUUGUAAGUCGAGGACCACCUGUAUUGUCUGAGUAAAAGAUCAAUAAUUUCCAUUCUAAAUGAAAACAUACUUCCAUAAAUGUAAUUUAGCUUUCUUAUUUGGCAAUUUUUGAACUAUUUGGAGUGCCUCAUUUAAAAAAAAAUACAAAAAACCCCCCAAGUAACUGAUAAAGUUUAAACUUAAAAGCAUGUUCUACUACGGUAUAUAAAUAUGUCAGGCACCAUCCUUAAAGGGUACUCCCACAGUAUUUACAAUAAAUGGAAAAAAGCACUGUGAAGACAAUUUUUUUCAACAUUUUAUCCAGUUUUCCUAGUGAUCAUCCAGAUCUCUGCACCAAUUUCUAUAGAGAUUUAAACUUUUCUAGAAAAGUUCCAUAAAAUGUAGCAAUUGCUAAGUAUAUAUUAAAAUACCUUAUUCUAUGAAUGACCAACAGUAAGCAGAUAGGGUACUUCCAAUGCCUUAUCAAAGUUUCUCUUUAAUGCAAAGGUAUUGUCAACACCUGUAACACUAUGGCUGCUAAAGCAUCAUUUCCAAUAUAAUUCUGUAUUGUUUUUGAAAUGGGAUAGGAAGGGGAGAAAAAAGGGAAAAACAAUGUUUGCUUGUAACAAAGGCAGAAUGAGACUGACAGAGAUGAAGCAGAAUAUAAAUUUUGAACAUAUAAACAAUACUUCAUGUUUUAAGUAGCUUCCAAACAUUAUGGUAUAAGUAACAUGUAUUGAUCAUUUCUCACUUUUGUGAGACACUGCAUUAAGCAGUUAGAUCUGUUACAUUUGGAAUUUGUACCAUACAAACCCAGUGAUUAGAAACAAGUAAUACACACAUAUAAUAGAAAAUUCAUAAAUUUCUAUUUCAAAUAUAUAUGUGUACUAUAUAUAUUAGAGAGAGAGAGAGAGAGAGAGAGAGAGAGAGAGAGAGAGCAUAUUAGGUGUGGUGUACAAUACUAAAAUGCCAUAUCCAAUGAAAACAUCACAAGACAAUGUUGCUAGUAGGGCUCAGAAACUAUUAGCGUAAGCAGCAGGAAAAAUCCAUAUACUGUUGCUUAAAAUGUUUGAUGAAAAGAACAGGAUUUAAAAGGUACAAAUUCUCUAUUUCAAAUUAUUCAUCUUCAGAACUGCUCAAUUUUUGCAAGGGAACACUGUACCUUAAGAGGGAAGAAAAACAUCAGUUACAGAAAAGUAUUUCAGUAUGGAACAGCUGAUUCAUCACAUACACAUAAAAAACCCUCAAUUUUCAUGGCCAACAAACUCAGAUCUUUUAAAGUAUGAGUUUGUUAUUACAUUUAUAGAAAAUGUACACUGAAUAGUACAAUUGAGAUCAUGACAGAAGACAGCAUCAGAGAAAAAACAUCACUUACUAGUAUUCUUAUCAUGAACAGUAGCCUGAAAUCAUGCAUGCAUAUUCAACCUAUAAAAUCCUUGUUAUUUGCAUGCUGAUUUUAGGUCUUGGGUCAAUUCCACAUAUACUGGUGAAUUCCCCGUUGUCCCUAACCCAGCAUGGCAGAUGAAGGGGAUUUGCAGUUGAACUAAAUGUGUAUGUGUCACAUAUUUCUAUCAUUGACAUACUCAGCCCUUUAUAGACCAAUGUUAAGCAGAACAAAGCAGUCCCUAAUGAAUAAAAGUAGGUAAUCAUAUCCCCAAGAAAUCGGUUUCAUGAUUGUCAUGAAGCUAAAAGGCUUUUCUGGGCACCUUAGAAUAGGUGGGCAUCCUGUGGACAGCACAAAGCCAAUUCAAUAUUUUUAUUGCAGCUUCUAAAAUCCCUCAGAUCAUAUCACUGAAAAUUGGUGCCAAGGUGCUGCACUUUCCAUUACUAGUUAAAGGAAAUAUCAAAAUCCAAGAAAAAGAGGUAAAUUAAGGCUUGUGUAGAAAAGCUUUUUAGAAAAACUCACCCAAUUAGCACACACACACAUACACAAACAUUCACCUUCACAAAGCCUGGACUCUGGCCCAUCCAGUAGCACUGUUACUGUCCUAAUUCCUAUACUUGUGACUAUCAAAAAUGUGCAACUUUUGGACACAAAUACUAUUUGCUAUAUCUUUGUUUUAGAAGUGAUAUGAUAAAAAUGUAAUAAUUACAUAUAUUGUUCAGUGACUGAAUGUCUAUCAAGAAGUUCUAACAUUAAAUUAGGUUAAAAUUAAGAAAUUAAAUUAUUUCCACUUCCUUUUGAAUAUAUCCAUAUCAUAUUUUCUCUCUAAAUUGGAAAUGUUAGUUGGGUGAUUUUUAAAAAAGUAAUUAGCAAUACUGUUGAUUCAAGAAUUUUCACUUAAAGUCCUAUCCAUCUUCCCUUGUUUAAUAUAUGAUUACCAAGAACUUAUUGUGCACAGAGGAAAAUAAAUGAAAACUAUGGAGAAAAUGAAAAUAAAAUCACCAUGGGGAGUGCAGCACUAAAGCAUUUUCAAUUUUGUCUUCAAUCAAGUAUUUGCAAUCUGGCAAUUUUAUUGUCACACCUCCUUCACAAUAGACAAGAUGUUUACCAUAUUAAGAUUACACGUUGC
This is a long non-coding RNA of Crotalus tigris (Tiger rattlesnake), 7575 nucleotides long. RefSeq lists it as uncharacterized. Lineage: Eukaryota; Metazoa; Chordata; Lepidosauria; Squamata; Viperidae. The transcript is spliced from 2 exons. The record is from RefSeq and is a predicted model, not a curated record.